Cajanus cajan (pigeon pea) is the source of this 724-nucleotide long non-coding RNA. RefSeq lists it as uncharacterized. The record is from RefSeq and is a predicted model, not a curated record. Lineage: Eukaryota; Viridiplantae; Streptophyta; Magnoliopsida; Fabales; Fabaceae.
AUAGGCCCUUUUGUUUUCACUCAUAUUCUGAGUCGUACUCUGUCUCGCAUCUUCCCUUCUCCCUGUAGGUCUAUCUGUCGCACAAAUUUGUACUCUAUCAUUCGUUGUAGCUGGCCAUUCAUUAUCGUUGUUGUUCAUCACGAGUUCGUCGCACAAAUUUGUACUCCCAUAAGGAGGGUUGAAGGCAACCAUGGGCAUCGGGAGCACGACCUUCUCGUUGUCUGUGCCUGCCUUUGGUGCAUCCGCGGAUUCUUCUGCUGUUGCGAGUGCUUUCGCGGCUCCUGUUGCAUCUUCUUCCAGUGGAGGAUCAUCUUUUUACAAGAUUUGGCGUUGGAAGCACGUCGUCCACUACUUCUUUUGGGACUGGGUUUGCCUUCGUAAAUAAGUCAUCAAUGUCAGCAGUUUCUAGUGUUACUACUUCUGCAUUUGUUUGAUGCAUGGAUAAAGUGUGCAAAAAUGUAGAUGGUUUCUUUUCAAUCUAAAAAAAGAUGCUUAGGUAUGCUCCUGAAAUAAGUUUCAAAUGUUUUUCAGUUGUCUUCUCCUUUCUUGAAAGGUUUUUUUUUGUAGGAUUUCUGUUGAUUCUUGCAGUAAUUUCCAUUGGUGUUAUGAUCUCUAGGGAAAAGUCGGGGGGAGUGCUUAUGAUUGUGUACUUAUGGUAGUUUCUAGUAACUUUAUUGGUCGAUCUAAAUUUCAAUAUAAAAAAGUGUGAAACUAGUUGGCAUCA